UCUCCCCCAGGGGCCAGCUCUGGGAUCUGGUGUAGGUUCUCGAUGACCCAAAGGACACCAGUUAGAGUUCUUCCUCGAGAGUCUUCAAGCUGGAUCCGAGAGAAAGGAGACCUAUGCUCUUCAUGUUCCCAGAGUCAUCAGGUGUAUUUCUUCGGGCCCGCCCACACUCUAACUCUUCUUGCUAGUUUGAGUUCAUUUUCAAUGGAAAGAGACUUAAAAAUACAAGGCAGACACCAUCAGGAAGGCAAAAGUGAAUUCUCCACUAUCUGAAAAAUCAGAGCUUUCAUGUUCGUAAGAAGCUAUUUGAGAUUUGAAAGUGCAGUCUUUGCUGGGCGUGCAGAUCUGUUCAUUUUAGUUUCAGUCUGUUUUACGUAAACACAUUCUUUCUCAAACAGAAAAUUCUCAAAAACGCCAGAGCAAUACAAUAAGGAUGAGUAUCAGCAUUUCUUGGGUGUUUGCUACGUGCUGGUUACUACCUAACAUGUACUUACGUUUUUCAUCCUCACAAAACCGGAUGAAACUCUUCUACUCAUUCCUCCUUCCCCGUUUUAUAGAUGUGGAAACGGAGGCACAGGGAAGUUAAGUGAUUUCUCCCGGGUUGCACAACCAGGAAGUGAGAGAGACAGGAUCUGGACCCCAACCUUCCAAGCUCAGAGACUGAGAUUUGAAUCUAGAAAUAGAUCAAAGUAUUGAAAACCACAGGUUUCUAGUUAUGACAAUCUCGUUUGAGACAGAAGUAUGAAUUUUUAAUUUUUUUGAAAUAACUUUCGCUGUCUUUCAAGGCAAUGAAAGAGUUGUGCGUGCCCUCAAAGGUAUUCUGCAGUAUGGCUUGAACCUGCAUGCGAGCAAUGGUCAGCCCAGAGAUGUUUCGCUCUGCCUUUCAGGGGCGGAGCCGGUGCCAACAUCUCCAUCUCCGAUGCCCAUUCUGGCUGGACCAUUGUGGAAAUGCAUCUUGAAGGAAACACUGACGCUCCCAGAAGCCACGCGAGGAGGCAGCCUGGCCUGGAAGGCGGUAGAGGGCUGAGCGCUGUGAAACCCUCAGAGCACGAGCUCUGCCCAACCUUUGAUCUUAACCAUGGAUGGCGUCCAAUAGACCAAACAGAAAGAUGGUUAAAAUGCUCAGUCCCACCCUCUCAAGGUCCCUGAGGCACAUGCAAAGUAGGAGAACAUGGACCAAGGCUCGUUUAGAUGUCAUUCCUGGGAAGCGUUUCAUGCAAUAGCGGGAGAAUCGGGUUGAAACCCAAAGUCAUGACCUAGAGUCUUCGGCCAAGUGCUAACUUCCUACCUGUUAACGUUUCCUUUUGGAGCAACCAGAGAAACAACCCGCCUCCUUUGUUCUGGACCAGAGGGGACUAGGAGAAUCAGAAUGACUGGGCCCCUCACUUCCUGUGAGGUUGUGAAACAAAAGGUUUCCCCACGGUGAGCCCUCCAGAGAGCAAGGUCACAUUGAUCUACGGCAGUGACACACACCAGGCUUUGCCCAGUCUCCUCUGCAAAGACUCAAGAGCCGAGAGUAAAAUCUUAUAAUGGUUCCGCGAUGGAAGGCAAAGGGCCCCUCGGCGCUGAGGAACGUGCUUAUCAUUCAGCUGGAUCCCUUGGUCUUUGCCUUUUAAUUCUCAAAUGAAAAAUAUUCUAAAACGACAGGAAAGACUUCUUGGGGGUCCGUGGGGACUCUUCUUCCCUUCGUUCAGCAAGGAAAAAAUACCUGUGGGACGUACUAAGAAACAGACUUGUGUAUCUCUGCCCUGUGUUCUAAUAUUUGGUCUUUGACCCUAGUUCCUGACACAGAGUUCCUAAAACCCAUGUAAUUUCCUGGGUGAUUGGAGUGUCUUCUGUUCUGAUGAGGACACUCCUGGAUGGCUCCUGGAUGGCGGCUGGUCACCAAAAAGGCCGAGCCAUGUUUAGAAGCUGGGAACUUUCAGCAUUGCCCCCUGCCCUGCCCUGUUCUUGAGAGUAGGGGCUAGAAAUGGAGUUAAAUGGAUGAUCAUGCCAAUGGGAUGAAGCCUCCCUAAAAUUCCUGAAAGUACAGGGUUUGGAGAGUGUCUAGAUUGGUGAACACAUCUAUAGGCCCCUGGGACACAAGCCGCAGCACUGGAGACCCUUCCCACACUCUGCUCUAUACAUCUCCUCAUUUGGCUUUUCAUCUGUUUCCUUUAUUAGAUAAUAUUAUUAUUAGAUAAUAUUAGAUGAUAAACUUCCAACUGAGUGUUGUCCUGAGUUCUGUGGGCUGUCUAGGGUGGGAUGGAACCUGAGGAGGCUUUACGGCCUGUCUCUCAGAAGUACAGGGGAGAAACUGGAUAGGCAGUUGGCCUGUGACGUGGGCUCAGUCUUGUGGGACUGAACUCUUCCCCUAUGAUAUCUGACGCUCCCUCCGGGUUGAUAGGGUCAGAAAUGGUAGGAGGCUCAGUUAGUGUCUGCAGGAGGGUUGAAGAAUUAUCUGGUGUGGGAAGCCCCUUCCCCACAUCUGGGGUGAGAAGUGACGUAUUGAGAAGAGAAAGAAUGUUGUUUUCCUAGACAACCUACAAAUUGUGCUGAUCUUAAGGAAUACAGUGGUGAGCAAGUCAAUGUCUCUAAUCUCGUGGAAUUUAUAGGCAAACGGGCAGUUACAAUUACAGUAUGAUAAAUACUGUGAUGGGCAAAGUCGAGGGUCAGGCAAAAACUGCUGAGGGUUUCUGCCUGGACUUUGAGUCAGGAAAGGGGAAAUGGAGGGAAUGAUUCAUCCAGACCCGGGGAGGUCUCCCUCUGACUGUCUGGCUCCUUCAAGGCUGACUUCUGUGAGGUUGUGAAUGAUUCUCUUCAAGACAUGCGUCUAAAAAACAAAACAAAACAAAACAUGAUGACUUGUUUAUUUAAUUUUUUGUUAUAUUUUUACUAACCCCCCCAACCUACAGAAAAGGUGCAAUUACACUACAAAAAACUUUUUUUCUCCUCCAGAACCAAGGUGAUGGCCCAUCAGAUCAAGACUUCAGUGUGCAUUCUCUGCAAACAAGAACAUUCUCCUGCGUAACCGACACAUGACUAUCAGCUUCGGGAGACUGGCUGGACCCACUCAUACCCCUGAAUCCUUGGAUCCCACUCAAGUUUUGCCAGUCGUCCCAAGAAUGGCCUUCAUGGAGAAAAGAUCCAGCUCAUGGUCAACAUGGCCUUUUCCUUGACCCUGGUGAACACGCAAUUUUUGGAGCUAAUUGGACAGUUGCUUUGUAGAGCGUCCCUCCGUUGUCAUUUGUCGGAGGCUCCCUCGCGGUCGGAUUUCAGUGCACACUUGUAGCAGGAGCAGCUCGGAGGUGGUGGGGCGUUCUCCCUGCCUCCUCACAUGGGGGCAGGAUUUCAACCUCUCUCAUGACCAAUCAUCUCACGAGGUUGCAUCCGCUAGUCUUCCUCACCGUGAAGUUACUCUUUUGUCCUCUGUAAUUAACGUGUAUUUUGAGGGAGGUGCUGGGAAACAUCCCACUUCUCUUUGGACUCUUGAUUCGGUAUGAUCUCAUGAUUUCCUACUUUAUCCACUGGGUUGUAAUCUGUCACCCUCUUUUCUUUGAUACCCAAAACAUCCUCUGUGUGGUAGCCCUGAUAGGUGGCCAACCCCCACAGGCUGACUUCUGUGUCCUUUUUGCAUGUUCCAGUCACCCUCCCGGCAUUCACAUUUUAUUUCUCCCACAGAUGGGUGUUCCAGACUCGUCAUCUACAUUCUCCGUACUGGCCCUGGCGUCAGCGACUUCUCCAAGGAGCUUCUCGUGGCAAGUGGUAUUUGGGAACCAAGAUCUGGGCAUCAUGAUGUGCUCACUGCUAUUGAGCUCUUGUUGUUCCAAGGGCCCCCUCACAGAGUGAGCUAGAAAUAUAACGACACACACACAUCUGUUUCCAUAUUUUUACUGAAAUCCUUGACCUUAUACCAAUAUCUUAAGCUCUGACCCCAAACCACAGGGUUCGUUCUGGUUUUCUCGCUUUCCACACUUGUAACUUCUUUCUCCAACAGUGAGAGGCCCAGCUCCUGUUCUUCUAAGCAUACACACUUCUUUGAUCAAGCCCCUGCGUGGAACCAGUCUCUGCCCGCCCCCCACCCCCCCGCGGACCCCUCCUCAUACCUUCCCUGCUCUGCCGGCCCAGC
This is a long non-coding RNA of Mustela erminea (ermine), 4105 nucleotides long. RefSeq lists it as uncharacterized. The record is from RefSeq and is a predicted model, not a curated record. The transcript is spliced from 3 exons. Lineage: Eukaryota; Metazoa; Chordata; Mammalia; Carnivora; Mustelidae.